UCCUCUUCAAUGAUGAAGCAUUUUUCGGAUGUAAACGCCGUCAGGCGACUUUCCAAGAGCGCAUAUAACCAUGUGGAUACCUCCGUUGCCUUCCUUCUGAUUCCCCAAC
RNAcentral lists this small nucleolar RNA (109 nucleotides) under Cutaneotrichosporon oleaginosum. RNAcentral's name for it is "Trichosporon oleaginosus Small nucleolar RNA Z13/snr52". It matches the Rfam family "Small nucleolar RNA Z13/snr52". From Rfam's summary of the family: Z13 or snr52 is a member of the C/D class of snoRNA which contain the C (UGAUGA) and D (CUGA) box motifs. Lineage: Eukaryota; Fungi; Basidiomycota; Tremellomycetes; Trichosporonales; Trichosporonaceae. The record is from Rfam by way of RNAcentral.